GGAGGGUGCAAGCGUNAUCCGGAUNNAUNGGGUNUAAAGGGUCCGUAGGCGGACCUGUAAGUCAGUGGUGAAAUCUCGCAGCUCAACUGUGAAACUGCCAUUGAUACUGCAGGUCUUGAGUAAAUUUGAAGUGGCUGGAAUAAGUAGUGUAGCGGUGAAAUGCAUAGAUAUUACUUAGAACACCAAUUGCGAAGGCAGGUCACUAAGAUUUAACUGACGCUGAUGGACGAAAGCGUGGGGAGCGAACAGGAUUAGAUACCCUGGUAGUCCACGCCGUAAACGAUGCUAACUCGUUUUUGGGCCUUCGGGUUCAGAGACUAAGCGAAAGUGAUAAGUUAGCCACCUGGGGAGU
Molecule: ribosomal RNA, 352 nt
Filed under: uncultured bacterium
Lineage: Bacteria
Description: bacterial SSU rRNA
Rfam family: Bacterial small subunit ribosomal RNA
Source: RNAcentral